UGGGAAUAUUGGCACAAUGGGCGCAAGGCCUGAUGCCAGCCAUGCCGCGUGUGUGAAGAAGGCCUUCGGGUUGUAAAGCACUUUCAGCGAGGAGGAAGGUGGUGAGCUUAAUACGCUCAUCAAUUGACGUUACUCGCAGAAGAAGCACCGGCUAACUCCGUGCCAGCAGCCGCGGUAAUACGGAGGGUGCAAGCGUUAAUCGGAAUUACUGGGCGUAAAGCGCACGCAGGCGGUUUGUUAAGUCAGAUGUGAAAUCCCCGGGCUCAACCUGGGAACUGCAUUUGAAACUGGCAAGCUAGAGUCUCGUAGAGGGGGGUAGAAUUCCAGGUGUAGCGGUGAAAUGCGUAGAGAUCUGGAGGAAUACCGGUGGC
This 371-nucleotide ribosomal RNA is filed under the name uncultured bacterium. Its description in RNAcentral is "partial 16S ribosomal RNA". It matches the Rfam family "Bacterial small subunit ribosomal RNA", at positions 356 to 716 of the family's 1533-position model. The record is from RNAcentral.